GAAGGGACCUAGCGUAGUUCGGAAUUACUGGGCUUAAAGAGUUCGUAGGUGGUUAAAAAAGUUGGUGGUGAAAUCCCAGAGCUUAACUCUGGAACUGCCAUCAAAACUUUUUAGCUAGAGUAUGAUAGAGGAAAGCAGAAUUUCUAGUGUAGAGGUGAAAUUCGUAGAUAUUAGAAAGAAUACCAAUUGCGAAGGCAGCUUUCUGGAUCAUUACUGACACUGAGGAACGAAAGCAUGGGUAGCGAAGAGGAUUAGAUACCCUCGUAGUCCAUGCCGUAAACGAUGUGUGUUAGACGUUGGAAAUUUAUUUUCAGUGUCGCAGUGAAAACAAUAAACACACCGCCUGGGGAGUACGACCGCAAGGUUAAAACUCAAAUGAAUUGACGGGGACCCGCACAAGUAGUGGAGCAUGUGGUUUAAUUCGAAGAUACGCGCAGAACCUUACCAACACUUGACAUGUUCGUCGCGACUCUAAGAGAUUAGAGUUUUCGGUUCGGCCGGACGAAACACAGGUGCUGCAUGGCUGUCGUCAGCUCGUGUCGUGAGAUGUUGGGUUAAGUCCCGCAACGAGCGCAACCCUUACUUUUAGUUGCCAUCAUUUAGUUGGGCACUCUGAAAGAACUGCCAGUGAUAAGCUGGAGGAAGGUGGGGAUGACGUCAAGUCCUCAUGGCCCUUACGUGUUGGGCUACACACGUGCUACAAUGGCAUUUACAAUGGGAAGCAAGAUGGCGACAUCAAGCAAAUCCUAAAAAAAUGCCUCAGUUCGGAUUGCACUCUGCAACUCGAGUGCAUGAAGCUGGAAUUACUAGUAAUCGUGGAUCAGCGUGCCACGGUGAAUACGUUCCCGGGUCUU
RNAcentral lists this ribosomal RNA (854 nucleotides) under uncultured organism. RNAcentral's name for it is "bacterial SSU rRNA". It matches the Rfam family "Bacterial small subunit ribosomal RNA", at positions 527 to 1382 of the family's 1533-position model. The record is from RNAcentral.